This 460-nucleotide ribosomal RNA is filed under the name uncultured bacterium. RNAcentral describes it as "partial 16S ribosomal RNA". It matches the Rfam family "Bacterial small subunit ribosomal RNA", at positions 338 to 795 of the family's 1533-position model. The record is from RNAcentral.
CCUACGGGGCGCAGCAGUGAGGAAUAUUGGUCAAUGGGCGCGAGCCUGAACCAGCCAAGUCGCGUGAGGGAGGACGGCCCUACGGUUUGUAAACCUCUUUUGCCGGGGAGCAACGGGCGUCAUGUGUGGCGCCACUGAGAGUACCCGGAGAAAAAGCAUCGGCUAACUCCGUGCCAGCAGCCGCGGUAAUACGGAGGUGGCGAGCGUUAUCCGGAUUUAUUGGGUUAAAAGGGGGCGUAGGCGGAUCGUUAAGUCAGUGGUAAAAUUGAGGGGCUAAAUCGCGUCCCGCAAUUGAUACUGGCGCUCUUGAGUGGAAGAGAAGUAUGCGGAAUGCGAGGUGUAGCGGUGAAAUGCAUAGAGAUCACGCAGAACCCCGAUUGCGAAGGCAGCAUGCCGGCUUCCGACUGACGCUGAAGCACGAAAGCGUGGGGAGCGAACAGGAUUAGAUACCCGUGUAGUC